This is a non-coding RNA of Halorhabdus tiamatea SARL4B, 73 nucleotides long. Lineage: Archaea; Methanobacteriati; Methanobacteriota; Halobacteria; Halobacteriales; Haloarculaceae. The record is from Rfam.
AGUCCUGUGGUGUAGUGGCCAAUCAUGAGGGCUUCUGGGGCCCUCGACGGAGGUUCGAAUCCUCCCAGGACUA